Non-coding RNA from Aedes albopictus (Asian tiger mosquito), 73 nucleotides. NCBI's taxonomy places the organism in Eukaryota, Metazoa, Arthropoda, Insecta, Diptera, Culicidae. The record is from Rfam.
GGCAUGUUAGCCUAGUGGUUAAGGCAAUGGAUCGCCAAUCCGGAGAUGAUGGGUUCGAUUUCCGUUCCAGUCG